This 101-nucleotide transfer RNA is filed under the name Hypoxylon rubiginosum. RNAcentral's name for it is "tRNA-Lys". It matches the Rfam family "tRNA". From Rfam's summary of the family: Transfer RNA (tRNA) molecules are approximately 80 nucleotides in length. Their secondary structure includes four short double-helical elements and three loops (D, anti-codon, and T loops). Further hydrogen bonds mediate the characteristic L-shaped molecular structure. tRNAs have two regions of fundamental functional importance: the anti-codon, which is responsible for specific mRNA codon recognition, and the 3' end, to which the tRNAs corresponding amino acid is attached (by aminoacyl-tRNA synthetases). tRNAs cope with the degeneracy of the genetic code in two manners: having more than one tRNA (with a specific anti-codon) for a particular amino acid; and 'wobble' base-pairing, i.e. permitting non-standard base-pairing at the 3rd anti-codon position. The record is from RNAcentral. Lineage: Eukaryota; Fungi; Ascomycota; Sordariomycetes; Xylariales; Hypoxylaceae.
GCCCGCGUAGCUCAAUCGGUAGAGCGUGAGACUCUUAAUCUUCGUGAAAAUUCCACUCAGAAGUUAUCUCAAGGCUGCGGGUUCGACCCCCGCCGUGGGCU